Non-coding RNA from Sporosarcina psychrophila, 118 nucleotides. NCBI's taxonomy places the organism in Bacteria, Bacillati, Bacillota, Bacilli, Caryophanales, Caryophanaceae. The record is from Rfam.
CUCUUAUCCCGAGCUGGUGGAGGGGUCAGGCCCUAUGAAACCCGGCAACCUGCACAGACGUUUUGUCUGCGCGAAGGUGCCAAACCUGUAGCAAGGCACAGUCCUUGUAUGAUAAGAG